Molecule: ribosomal RNA, 470 nt
Filed under: uncultured bacterium
Lineage: Bacteria
Description: bacterial SSU rRNA
Rfam family: Bacterial small subunit ribosomal RNA
Source: RNAcentral
AGAGUUUGAUCCUGGCUCAGGACGAACGCUGGCGGCGUGCUUAACACAUGCAAGUCUACGAGAAAGAGGUAGCAAUAUCUCAAGUAAAGUGGCGCAAGGGUGAGUAAUAUGUAAGUAAUCUACCUAUGGGUUCGGAAUAACGUCGAGAAAUCGGCGCUAAUACCGAAUAAUGCAGCGGCAUCGCAUGAUGAUGUUGUUAAAGUUGUCCCGACUUGUCGGGAUAACUCCUAUAGAUGAGCUUGCAUCUGAUUAGCUAGUUGGUAGGGUAAUUGCCUACCAAGGCUACGAUCAGUAGCUGGUCUGAGAGGAUGAUCAGCCACACUGGAACUGAGACACGGUCCAGACUCCUACGGGAGGCAGCAGUGAGGAAUAUUGGGCAAUGGACGGAAGUCUGACCCAGCAACGCCGCGUGGAGGAUGAAUGCCGUAAGGUUGUAAACUCCUUUUGAAGGGGACGAAUAUUCAAGUUCC